Molecule: ribosomal RNA, 764 nt
Filed under: uncultured bacterium
Lineage: Bacteria
Description: bacterial SSU rRNA
Rfam family: Bacterial small subunit ribosomal RNA
Source: RNAcentral
AACGAGAAAGUGGAGCAAUCCAUGAGUACAGUGGCGACCGGGUGAGUAACACGUGACUACCUACCCUUGAGUGGGGGAUAACCUCGGGAAACCGAGGCUAAUACCGCAUAAUAUCGAAAGAUCAAAGGAGUAAUCCGCUUUUGGAGGGGGUCGCGGCUGAUUAGCUAGUUGGUAGGGUAAUGGCCUACCAAGGCGAAGAUCGGUAUCCGGCCUGAGAGGGCGCACGGACACACUGGAACUGAAACACGGUCCAGACUCCUACGGGAGGCAGCAGUGGGGAAUUUUGCGCAAUGGGGGAAACCCUGACGCAGCAACGCCGCGUGGAGGAUGAAGUCCCUUGGGACGUAAACUCCUUUCGAUCGGGACGAUUAUGACGGUACCGGAAGAAGAAGCCCCGGCUAACUUCGUGCCAGCAGCCGCGGUAAUACGAGGGGGGCAAGCGUUGUUCGGAAUUAUUGGGCGUAAAGGGCGCGUAGGCGGUCGGACAUGUCUUGUGUGAAAUCUUCGGGCUCAACUCGAAGUCUGCACAGGAAACUAUCUGGCUUGAGUGUGGGAGAGGUGAGUGGAAUUCCUGGUGUAGCGGUGAAAUGCGUAGAUAUCAGGAGGAACACCUGUGGCGAAAGCGGCUCACUGGACCACAACUGACGCUGAGGCGCGAAAGCUAGGGGAGCAAACAGGAUUAGAUACCCUGGUAGUCCUAGCCCUAAACGAUGAUCGCUUGGGUGUGACGGGUACCCAAUCCCGCCGUGCCGAAGCUAACGCGU